CAGCAGCCGCGGGAAUACGUAGGGUGCGAGCGUUAAUCGGAAUUACUGGGCGUAAAGCGUGUGUAGGCGGUGCUCUAAGUUCGGUGUGAAAUCUCCCGGCUUAACUGGGAGGGUGCGCCGGAAACUGGAAUGCUCGAGCGUGGGAGAGGAAAACGGAAUUCCCGGUGUAGCGGUGAAAUGCGUAGAUAUCAGGAGGAACACCUGUGGUGUAGACGGCUUUCUGGACCAUAGCUGACGCUGAGGAGCGAAAGCGUGGGGAGCGAACAGGAUUAGAUACCCCCGUAGUCCCUGUCUCUUAUAA
This 301-nucleotide ribosomal RNA is filed under the name uncultured bacterium. RNAcentral describes it as "partial 16S ribosomal RNA". It matches the Rfam family "Bacterial small subunit ribosomal RNA", at positions 509 to 809 of the family's 1533-position model. The record is from RNAcentral.